GAUGAACGCUAGCUACAGGCUUAACACAUGCAAGUCGAGGGGUAACGAGAGGAAAGCUUGCUUUCCUUGUCGACGACCGGCGCACGGGUGAGUAACGCGUAUCCAACCUGCCCCCAACUAGGGAAUAACCUUGCGAAAGUAAGACUAAUACCCCAUAAUUUCCUCAGAUGUCAUCUGACGAUGAAUAAAGAUUUAUCGGUUGUGGAUGGGGAGUCGUCUGAUUAGCUUGUUGGCGGGGUAACGGCCCACCAAGGCAACGAUCAGUAGGGGUUCUGAGAGGAAGGUCCCCCACAUUGGAACUGAGACACGGUCCAAACUCCUACGGGAGGCAGCAGUGAGGAAUAUUGGUCAAUGGGCGGAAGCCUGAACCAGCCAAGUAGCGUGCAGGAUGACGGCCCUAUGGGUUGUAAACUGCUUUUAUACAGGAAAAAAGUUAGCCACGUGUGGUUAUUUGUAGGUACUGUAUGAAUAAGGACCGGCUAAUUCCGUGCCAGCCGCCGCCGUAA
This 506-nucleotide ribosomal RNA is filed under the name uncultured bacterium. Its description in RNAcentral is "partial 16S ribosomal RNA". It matches the Rfam family "Bacterial small subunit ribosomal RNA", at positions 28 to 523 of the family's 1533-position model. The record is from RNAcentral.